RNAcentral lists this ribosomal RNA (253 nucleotides) under uncultured bacterium. RNAcentral describes it as "partial 16S ribosomal RNA". It matches the Rfam family "Bacterial small subunit ribosomal RNA", at positions 524 to 776 of the family's 1533-position model. The record is from RNAcentral.
UACGUAGGGUGCAAGCGUUAAUCGGAAUUACUGGGCGUAAAGCGUGCGCAGGCGGCUUUGCAAGACAGAUGUGAAAUCCCCGGGCUUAACCUGGGGACUGCAUUUGUGACUGCAUGGCUGGAGUGCGGCAGAGGGGGAUGGAAUUCCGCGUGUAGCAGUGAAAUGCGUAGAUAUGCGGAGGAACACCGAUGGCGAAGGCAGUCCCCUGGGCCUGCACUGACGCUCAUGCACGAAAGCGUGGGGAGCAAACAGG